RNAcentral lists this ribosomal RNA (386 nucleotides) under Baleja rufofasciata. RNAcentral's name for it is "partial large subunit ribosomal RNA". The record is from RNAcentral. Lineage: Eukaryota; Metazoa; Arthropoda; Insecta; Hemiptera; Cicadellidae.
UAAUAAUUAGUCUUUUAAUUGGAGGCUUGUAUGAAUGGAUACAUGAGAAAUUUAUUUUAUUUAUUUUACUUUUAGAACUUAAUUUAUAAGUAAGAAAGCUUAUUAUUUUUUUUGGGACGAUAAGACCCUAUAGAAUUUUAUUUUUUAUUAUUGUUAAAUUUUUUUUUUGGGAGAAAAUUUAUUUAUUUUAAUAAAAUUUUUUGUUGGGGUGAUAGAUAAAUUUAAACUUUAUUUUUUUUUUUCAUUUUUUAUUUGUUUAAUAUGAUCCAUUAUUAUGAUUACAAGAUUAAAUUACCUUAGGGAUAACAGCGUUAUUUUAAUGGAAAGUUCAUAUUUAUAAAAAGUUUGCGACCUCGAUGUUGAAUUAAGAUAAGGUUGAGGGGUAG